Molecule: ribosomal RNA, 328 nt
Filed under: uncultured eukaryote
Lineage: Eukaryota
Description: partial 18S ribosomal RNA
Rfam family: Eukaryotic small subunit ribosomal RNA
Source: RNAcentral
CCCUUAGAUGUUCUGGGCCGCACGCGCGCUACACUGAUGCAUUCAACGAGCCUAUCCUUGACCGACAGGUCCGGGUAAUCUUUGAAUCUGCAUCGUGACGGGGAUAGAUUAUUGCAAUUAUUAAUCUUCAACGAGGAAUGCCUAGUAGGCGCAAGUCAUCAGCUUGCGUCGAUUACGUCCCUGCCCUUUGUACACACCGCCCGUCGCUCCUACCGAUUGGGUGUGCUGGUGAAAUCUUUGGACCGUGACAUAGUUUUGCUUUCGGGCAAAACGUUGUCGUGGGAAGUUGAUUAAACCUUACCAUUUAGAGGAAGGUGAAGUCGUAACA